AGCUUUGCACAGUGGCAGUACUGUAGCCAAUGAGGUUUAUGUGAGGCACGAUUACUGCUAAUUAAACUAGGGCUCCAGUGCCC
This 83-nucleotide small nuclear RNA is filed under the name Chinchilla lanigera (long-tailed chinchilla). RNAcentral's name for it is "U4 spliceosomal RNA (ENSCLAG00000020685.1)". Lineage: Eukaryota; Metazoa; Chordata; Mammalia; Rodentia; Chinchillidae. The record is from RNAcentral.